AUUGAACGCUGGCGGCAUGCCUUACACAUGCAAGUCGAACGGCAGCACGGGGCAACCUGGUGGCGAGUGGCGAACGGGUGAGUAAUGCAUCGGAACGUGCCAUUGAGUGGGGGAUAACGUAGCGAAAGUUGCGCUAAUACCGCAUAUUCUGUGAGCAGGAAAGCAGGGGACCGCAAGGCCUUGCGCUCUUUGAGCGGCCGAUGUCAGAUUAGCUAGUUGGUGAGGUAACGGCUUACCAAGGCGACGAUCUGUAGCGGGUCUGAGAGGAUGAUCCGGCCACACUGGAACUGAGACACGGUCCAGACUCCUACGGGAGGCAGCAGUGGGGAAUUUUGGACAAUGGGCGCAAGCCUGAUCCAGCCAUGCCGCGUGAGUGAAGAAGGCC
RNAcentral lists this ribosomal RNA (385 nucleotides) under uncultured bacterium. RNAcentral's name for it is "bacterial SSU rRNA". It matches the Rfam family "Bacterial small subunit ribosomal RNA", at positions 30 to 416 of the family's 1533-position model. The record is from RNAcentral.